AAUGAACGCUGGCGGCGCGCCUAAUACAUGCAAGUCGAGCGAGAAGACGUAGCAAUACGUUUGUAAAGCGGCGAACGGGUGAGGAAUACAUGGGUAACCUACCCUCGAGUGGGGAAUAACUAGCCGAAAGGUUAGCUAAUACCGCGUACGCUUCUUGGACUUCGGUUCAGGGAGGAAAGCGAUGCCGAGGGUAUCGCGCUCUUGGAUGGGCUCAUGUCCUAUCAGCUUGUUGGNGAGGUAC
Molecule: ribosomal RNA, 241 nt
Filed under: uncultured bacterium
Lineage: Bacteria
Description: partial 16S ribosomal RNA
Rfam family: Bacterial small subunit ribosomal RNA
Source: RNAcentral